GACGAACCGUGCGAACGUUGUUCGGAAUCACUGGGCUUAAAGGGCGCGUAGGCGGGCCGCCGCGUCCGGGGUGAAAUCCUCCCGCUCAACGGGAGAACGGCCUCGGAUACGGGCGGCCUGGAGGCGGGUAGGGGCACGCGGAACUGUGGGUGGAGCGGUGAAAUGCGUUGAGAUCCACAGGAACUCCGGUGGCGAAGGCGGCGUGCUGGACCCGAUCUGACGCUGAGGCGCGAAAGCCAGGGGAGCGAGCGGG
Molecule: ribosomal RNA, 253 nt
Filed under: uncultured bacterium
Lineage: Bacteria
Description: partial 16S ribosomal RNA
Rfam family: Bacterial small subunit ribosomal RNA
Source: RNAcentral